Molecule: ribosomal RNA, 655 nt
Filed under: Lasiodiplodia sp. SKV-2020a
Lineage: Eukaryota; Fungi; Ascomycota; Dothideomycetes; Botryosphaeriales; Botryosphaeriaceae
Description: partial large subunit ribosomal RNA
Rfam family: Eukaryotic large subunit ribosomal RNA
Source: RNAcentral
UUGCCUUAGUAACGGCGAGUGAAGCGGCAACAGCUCAAAUUUGAAAGCUGGCCCUUUUAGGGUCCGCAUUGUAAUUUGUAGAGGAUGAUUCGGCGAGGGCUCCUGCCUAAGUCCCCUGGAACGGGGCGUCAUAGAGGGUGAGAAUCCCGUAUGCGGUAGGUUGCCUUAGCCAUGUGAAUCUCCUUCGACGAGUCGAGUUGUUUGGGAAUGCAGCUCUAAAUGGGAGGUAAAUUUCUUCUAAAGCUAAAUACCGGCCAGAGACCGAUAGCGCACAAGUAGAGUGAUCGAAAGAUGAAAAGCACUUUGGAAAGAGAGUUAAAAAGUACGUGAAAUUGUUGAAAGGGAAGCGCUUGCAACCAGACUUGUCCGCAGUUGCUCAGCCGGUCUCCUGACCGGCGUACUCUUCUGCGGCCAGGCCAGCAUCAGUUCGGGCGGUCGGAUAAAGGCCUCGGGAAUGUAGCUCCUCUCGGGGAGUGUUAUAGCCCGGGGUGGAAUGCGGCCAGCCUGGACUGAGGAACUCGCUUCGGCAAGGAUGCUGGCGUAAUGGUUGUAAGCGGCCCGUCUUGAAAAACGGACCAAGGAGUCUAACAUCUAUGCGAGUGUUUCGGGUGUCAAACCCGUACGCGUAAUGAAAGUGAAACGGAGGUGGGAAACC